This 119-nucleotide ribosomal RNA is filed under the name Alligator sinensis (Chinese alligator). Lineage: Eukaryota; Metazoa; Chordata; Crocodylia; Alligatoridae. The record is from RNAcentral.
UGUUAUGGCCAGGUUGAACUGAUUGCACCUGAUCCUGUCUGAUUUUGGAAACUAAGCAGUCCUGGGCCUGGCUACUACCUGGAUGGGAGACUACCUGGGAAUCCUAGGUGCCAUAGGCU